This is a long non-coding RNA of Anoplophora glabripennis (Asian longhorned beetle), 488 nucleotides long. RefSeq lists it as uncharacterized. Lineage: Eukaryota; Metazoa; Arthropoda; Insecta; Coleoptera; Cerambycidae. The record is from RefSeq and is a predicted model, not a curated record. The transcript has 2 exons.
CACGAUUUAUAUUGUCAAAAUAAUACACAUAAUAGUCAAUGACAUACCACAAAAGCUCGGUAGUGCUUCAAUAUAAGGAAUAGAUAAGUACGUUGUGAAAGAAUACACAUGGAGACAUCAAUCCAACAAACUUUAGAAGGACCUCGAUGCACACAGCUCUAUAUACCAACAGUUUUUGGAGAUGCUCCUCCGCCAUUUACUGAAGCUGCUCCAUCUUAUGACGAAAUACCUCCGCCAUUUACAGAACUACCCAACACUGUGACAUCUAUUGAAGGUCCCCCUUCGUCAACAUUAACAUCCGUGUUAUCCAAACGAUGUAGCUGCAUAUACUGUUAUAUAUUUCCUUUAUCGUGUUGUUUUCCAAUAAAGGAUUUAGGCACUUAAUUAGGUACGUUCUAGUCUCGUUGUAAUGCAUGUAUUUGUGUAUAACUAACUCGGCCAAACUUUAAUGACGUAUUGUACGUCAUAAAAUAAAAUUCUAAGAAAAC